RNAcentral lists this transfer RNA (77 nucleotides) under Candidatus Equadaptatus faecalis. RNAcentral's name for it is "tRNA-Met". It matches the Rfam family "tRNA". Rfam says of the family: Transfer RNA (tRNA) molecules are approximately 80 nucleotides in length. Their secondary structure includes four short double-helical elements and three loops (D, anti-codon, and T loops). Lineage: Bacteria; Thermotogati; Synergistota; Synergistia; Synergistales; Synergistaceae. The record is from RNAcentral.
GGCGCUGUAGCUCAGUUGGCUAGAGCUAUCGGUUCAUACCCGAUCGGUCACCGGUUCGAGUCCAGUCAGCGCCACCA